GUGGGGAAUAUUGGGCAAUGGGCGAAAGCCUGACCCAGCAACGCCGCGUGAAGGAAGAAGGUCUUCGGAUCGUAAACUUCUAUCCUUGGUGAAGAUAAUGACGGUAGCCGAGAAGGAAGCCCCGGCUAACUACGUGCCAGCAGCCGCGGUAAUACGUAGGGGGCAAGCGUUGUCCGGAAUGAUUGGGCGUAAAGGGCGCGUAGGCGGCCUGGUAAGUCUGGAGUGAAAGUCCUGCUUUUAAGGUGGGAAUUGCUUUGGAUACUGUCGGGCUUGAGUGCAGGAGAGGUAAGCGGAAUUCCCGGUGUAGCGGUGAAAUGCGUAGAGAUCGGGAGGAACACCAGUGGCGAAGGCGGCUUACUGGACUGUAACUGACGCUGAGGCGCGAAAGUGUGGGGAGCAAACAGGAUUAGAUACCCCUGUAGUCC
Molecule: ribosomal RNA, 425 nt
Filed under: uncultured bacterium
Lineage: Bacteria
Description: partial 16S ribosomal RNA
Rfam family: Bacterial small subunit ribosomal RNA
Source: RNAcentral